UAGAUAGUAGGCGGGGUAACGGCCCACCUAGUCUUCGAUGGAUAGGGGUUCUGAGAGGAAGGUCCCCCACAUUGGAACUGAGACACGGUCCAAACUCCUACGGGAGGCAGCAGUGAGGAAUAUUGGUCAAUGGACGAGAGUCUGAACCAGCUAAGUAGCGUGAAGGAUGAAGGUUCUAUGGAUUGUAAACUUCUUUUAUACGGGAAUAAACGGAUCCACGUGUGGAUUUUUGCAUGUACCGUAUGAAUAAGGAUCGGCUAACUCCGUGCCAGCAGCCGCGGUAAUACGGAGGAUCCGAGCGUUAUCCGGAUUUAUUGGGUUUAAAGGGAGCGUAGAUGGGUUGUUAAGUCAGUUGUGAAAGUUUGCGGCUCAACCGUAAAAUUGCAAUUGAUACUGGCAGUCUUGAGUACAGUUGAGGUAGGCGGAAUUCGUGGUGUAGCGGUGAAAUGCUUAGAUAUCACGAAGAACUCCGAUUGCGAAGGCAGCUUACUAACCUGUAACUGACAUUGAUGCUCGAAAGUGUGGGUAUCAAACAGGAUUAGAUACCCUGGUAGUCCACACGGUAAACGAUGAAUACUCGCUGUAGGCGAUAUACAGUCUGCGGCCAA
This 608-nucleotide ribosomal RNA is filed under the name uncultured bacterium. RNAcentral's name for it is "bacterial SSU rRNA". It matches the Rfam family "Bacterial small subunit ribosomal RNA", at positions 242 to 850 of the family's 1533-position model. The record is from RNAcentral.